CUCUUCUUCUUCUCCUCCUUCA
This 22-nucleotide small RNA is filed under the name Arabidopsis thaliana (thale cress). Its description in RNAcentral is "ATSL051850". Lineage: Eukaryota; Viridiplantae; Streptophyta; Magnoliopsida; Brassicales; Brassicaceae. The record is from RNAcentral.